RNAcentral lists this ribosomal RNA (465 nucleotides) under uncultured bacterium. RNAcentral describes it as "partial 16S ribosomal RNA". It matches the Rfam family "Bacterial small subunit ribosomal RNA", at positions 28 to 507 of the family's 1533-position model. The record is from RNAcentral.
GACGAACGCUGGCGGCGUGCUUAACACAUGCAAGUCGAACGGAAAGGCCCUGCUUGCAGGGUACUCGAGUGGCGAACAGGUGAGUAACACGUGGGUGAUCUGCCCUGCACUUCGGGAUAGGCCUGGGAAACUGGGUCUAAUACCGGAUAGGAGCCAUUUUUAGUGUGAUGGUUGGAAAGUUUUUUCGGUGUAGGAUGAGCUCGCGGCCUAUCAGCUUGUUGGUGGGGUAAUGGCCUACCAAGGCGGCGACGGGUAGCCGGCCUGAGAGGGUGGACGGCCACAUUGGGACUGGGAUACGGCCCAGACUCCUACGGGAGGCAGCAGUGGGGAAUAUUGCACAAUGGGCGCAAGCCUGAUGCAGCGACGCCGCGUGGGGGAUGACGGCCUUCGGGUUGUAAACUCCUUUCGCUAGGGACGAAGCUUUUUGUGACGGUACCUAGAUAAGAAGCACCGGCUAACUACGUG